ACUCGGUUCAUCUAUCGAUGAAGAGCGCGGGCAACCGCGAGAACUGGAGCGAAUUGCAGGGCUCAGUGAAAAUCAACACCUUGAACGCACAUUGCGGCCUCUAGAUCC
Molecule: non-coding RNA, 108 nt
Organism: Acanthosepion pharaonis
Lineage: Eukaryota; Metazoa; Mollusca; Cephalopoda; Sepiida; Sepiidae
Source: the annotation of a GenBank genome assembly